This 460-nucleotide ribosomal RNA is filed under the name uncultured bacterium. RNAcentral describes it as "partial 16S ribosomal RNA". It matches the Rfam family "Bacterial small subunit ribosomal RNA", at positions 338 to 795 of the family's 1533-position model. The record is from RNAcentral.
CCUACGGGUGGCAGCAGUGAGGAAUAUUGGUCAAUGGACGAGAGUCUGAACCAGCCAAGUAGCGUGAAGGAUGACUGCCCUAUGGGUUGUAAACUUCUUUUAUAAAGGAAUAAAACGCGGCACGUGUGCCUUUUUGCAUGUACUUUAUGAAUAAGGAUCGGCUAACUCCGUGCCAGCAGCAGCGGUAAUACGGAGGAACCGAGCGUUAUCCGGGAUCAUUGGGUUUAAAGGGAGCGUAGAUGGGUUGUUAAGUCAGUUGUGAAAGUUUGCGGCUCAACCGUAAAAUUGCAAUUGAUACUGGCAGUCUUGAGUACAGUUGAGGUAGGCGGAAUUCGUGGUGUAGCGGUGAAAUGCUUAGAUAUCACGAAGAACCCUGAUUGCGAAGGCAGCUUACUAAAAUGUGACUGACAUUGAUGCACGAAAGUGUGGGGAUCAAACAGGAUUAGAUACCCCUGUAGUC